UACAGAGGGUGCGAGCGUUGUUCGGAAUCACUGGGCGUAAAGGGUGCGUAGGCGGGUCUUUAAGUCAGGGGUGAAAUCCUGGAGCUCAACUCCAGAACUGCCUCUGAUACUGAAGAUCUUGAGUUCGGGAGAGGUGAGUGGAACUGCGAGUGUAGAGGUGAAAUUCGUAGAUAUUCGCAAGAACACCAGUGGCGAAGGCGGCUCACUGGCCCGAUACUGACGCUGAGGCACGAAAGCGUGGGGAGCAAACAGG
This 253-nucleotide ribosomal RNA is filed under the name uncultured bacterium. RNAcentral describes it as "partial 16S ribosomal RNA". It matches the Rfam family "Bacterial small subunit ribosomal RNA", at positions 524 to 776 of the family's 1533-position model. The record is from RNAcentral.